GUAUUAUGAUUUCUUGCAUCCAUCUCUCAUGAUUUCUGUAGAAUGGUUAUUAAAAUUUAAUGCUUAUCUUGUUUUCCAACUUUGAAGUCAACCAAAUGUGGUUGGUACUUAUAUGAAACAGUUGUAUGCAUUGGUUCAUACUUCAUUGAAGUUUAUAUACCAUCUUUUAAAAGUUGAAGGGAGUUUGCUAUACACUUCACUGUUAGACUCCAUUUUUUGAGUUAACACUUUGUCUUGGUUUCCAAAAGGGAAGCAGGACGGCAAGACCAGAGAAGUUGAUUGUUUACUUCCUUUAUAUGAAGUAUUGGUGAUGAUUAUCCACUUGUUUGACAAGUAAAAGUAAUGUAUGACCCUACUAGGGAAUGACCCUUGUAAAUAAUGAUCUAAAAAAUUAGUUAGUUUGGAAGAUAGAAGUGCUUAGGUAUAACAGCUUUGAGCUGUCGAGUGACGAUUGGCCGAAUUGUAGAAAUAUAAAAGACAAUUCUGGGCGUCCUAUGCUGGAAAUAGACACAGAGCACUGAGCUGAGGAAGUAACUUGUAAACACAAAGUCAUAAGCUUUUUGGAAGCUCAAGAUUGUUGGUUCACUGUCCAUGCUUAUACAUGCUAAACCUUGAGUUAAAUGCUUAAUAUUCCAGCCUCAAUGGUUCUCUUUCCUUUUCUGGUCAUAUUCUUCAUAAUCCUUUAAAUGCACCAGGACCGGAUGGAAAGAUAUGGACCUAUGUUGCGAGGGUUGAUUCUUCAUUUUAUGAUAUACAGUUCGAAUCCAAUUUCUUCUCUCAAGUAUUCCGAGCUCAUGAACUUUUUAAAGAUUUUUAUUCAUUUAUUUUUACUGAAAAAUAUUCUAGUUUCCAGGGAUUAUGACAUUGUGAACUGUUACCAAGACCAAUAACCG
This 893-nucleotide unclassified non-coding RNA is filed under the name Hevea brasiliensis (rubber tree). The record is from RNAcentral. Lineage: Eukaryota; Viridiplantae; Streptophyta; Magnoliopsida; Malpighiales; Euphorbiaceae.